RNAcentral lists this ribosomal RNA (253 nucleotides) under uncultured microorganism. RNAcentral's name for it is "partial 16S ribosomal RNA". It matches the Rfam family "Bacterial small subunit ribosomal RNA", at positions 524 to 776 of the family's 1533-position model. The record is from RNAcentral.
UACGUAGGUGGCAAGCGUUGUCCGGAUUUAUUGGGCGUAAAGCGAGCGCAGGCGGUUCUUUAAGUCUGAUGUGAAAGCCCCCAGCUCAACUGGGGAGGGUCAUUGGAAACUGGGGAACUUGAGUGCAGAAGAGGAGAGUGGAAUUCCAUGUGUAGCGGUGAAAUGCGUAGAUAUAUGGAGGAACACCAGUGGCGAAGGCGGCUCUCUGGUCUGUAACUGACGCUGAGGCUCGAAAGCGUGGGGAGCAAACAGG